Molecule: ribosomal RNA, 117 nt
Filed under: Candidatus Methylacidithermus pantelleriae
Lineage: Bacteria; Pseudomonadati; Verrucomicrobiota; Methylacidiphilae; Methylacidiphilales; Methylacidiphilaceae
Source: RNAcentral
UGGUGACGAUGGCGGAGGGGCCACACCCGUUCCCAUUCCGAACACGGCAGUUAAGCCCUCCAGCGCCGAUGGUACUUGGCGGGAAACCGCCUGGGAGAGUAGGUCGUUGCCAGGAGC